UCCAUGAUGGCCGAGAUUCAGGCAUCGAGCUUUUAACUCGAUCACAGUUAUUCUAACUUCAGGAU
Molecule: transfer RNA, 65 nt
Filed under: Anodonta anatina
Lineage: Eukaryota; Metazoa; Mollusca; Bivalvia; Unionida; Unionidae
Description: tRNA-Lys
Source: RNAcentral